RNAcentral lists this ribosomal RNA (484 nucleotides) under uncultured bacterium. RNAcentral's name for it is "partial 16S ribosomal RNA". It matches the Rfam family "Bacterial small subunit ribosomal RNA", at positions 28 to 523 of the family's 1533-position model. The record is from RNAcentral.
GACGAACGCUGGCGGCGUGCUUAACACAUGCAAGUCGAACGAUGAAGCCGGAGCUUGCUCUGGUGAAUUAGUGGCGAACGGGUGAGUAACACGUGAGUAACCUGCCCUUGACUCUGGGAUAACUGCUAGAAAUGGUAGCUAAUACCGGAUACGACCCUCGGAGGCAUCUCCAGGGGGUGGAAAGAAUUUCGGUCAAGGAUGGACUCGCGGCCUAUCAGCUAGUUGGUGAGGUAACGGCUCACCAAGGCGACGACGGGUAGCCGGCCUGAGAGGGUGACCGGCCACACUGGGACUGAGACACGGCCCAGCCGCCUACGGGAGGCAGCAGUGGGGAAUAUUGCACAAGGGGCGCAAGCCUGAUGCAGCAACGCCGCGUGAGGGAUGACGGCCUUCGGGUUGUAAACCUCUUUUAGUAGGGAAGAAGCGAAAGUGACGGUACCUGCAGAAAAAGCACCGGCUAACUACGUGCCAGCCGCCGCAGUAA